UACGGAAGGCAGCAGUGGGGAAUAUUGCACAAUGGGCGAAAGCCUGAUGCAGCUAUGCCGCGUGUAUGAAGAAGGCCUUAGGGUUGUAAAGUACUUUCAUCGGGGAGGAAAAAACAAAACUAAUAAUUUUAUUUCUUGACGUUACCCGAAAAAGAAGCACCGGCUAACUCCGUGCCAGCAGCCGCGGUAAUACGGAGGGUGCUAGCGUUAAUCAGAAUUACUGGGCGUAAAGAGCACGUAGGUGGUUUUUUUAAGUCAGAUGUGAAAUCCCUGGGCUUAACCUAGGAACUGCAUUUUGAAACUGAAAUACUAGAGUAUCGUAGAGGGAGGUAGAAUUCUAGGUGUAGCGGUGAAAUGCGUAGAUGUCUGGAGGAAUACCUGUGGCGAAAGCGGCCUCCUAAACGAAUACUGACACUGAGGUGCGAAAGCGUGGGGAGCAAACAGGGAUUAGAUACC
RNAcentral lists this ribosomal RNA (456 nucleotides) under uncultured bacterium. Its description in RNAcentral is "bacterial SSU rRNA". It matches the Rfam family "Bacterial small subunit ribosomal RNA", at positions 340 to 786 of the family's 1533-position model. The record is from RNAcentral.